Neoarius graeffei (lesser salmon catfish) is the source of this 4645-nucleotide long non-coding RNA. RefSeq lists it as uncharacterized. The transcript is spliced from 2 exons. The record is from RefSeq and is a predicted model, not a curated record. Lineage: Eukaryota; Metazoa; Chordata; Actinopteri; Siluriformes; Ariidae.
UGUAGCUGAAGUAUAAAUUAGGUGUGAGUAGAGUAGUGGUACUCCUUUACACUUGUUACAGCUUCAGGCUUCCUCUGUGGUGGGGGGGAAGGGGUGAUUAAACUUCUGGCACUUACACAAUAAGCACCUUAUUCAAACUAAUGCACUUUAUGAAGGUGGUAUAUAGAUAGGUUUGUUUUUCUUUCCUUUUUUUCUUUUUUUUUUAAAGAAGGUUUUACAUGUUAUAGGUAUGUGGUAUGCAUUCAGAAAUAUUCCCACGUGUGCGCGUAUGUGUGUGUGUGAGAGACUGAAACUGGACAUGGAGGUGAUUAUGGGGGACCGUCCUGUUUGUUCAAACCGCAUCAGAAAAGGACAACUUUCUCUUCGAAGACACUGUUUGGUUUUUUUUUUUUGUUUUUUUUCCUUUAUUAAAAAGGUUUCUAUAAAAAGCUAUAUAAAAUAAUAAGAUUUUUGCUCAGAAAACUUGAAGUUUUGCACUCGUAUAAAAAAGAGAAAAUGACAAAAAAUGGGUUAGGAUAUAUGUUAUGGAGAUUAAUAUUUUUGUGUGGGUGACCGAGUGAGUGGGUGUGUUUGUUUUAAAGCAUACCAGUCUGCACAAUAAUUUUUUUUUUUCAUUGCUUACUAAGAUGUAUAAAAUGACGAGGCCAUUUUGUGAUUUUUCAAGCAGAUUAGAAUUUUGUACUUCGUGUGUGUGUAUGGUAUAUUUGCAGCAUGUUUGUGUAUUUGACUGAGUGGGACAGAGGGCAAUGGCACAACCCAUCUUUUUUUUUUUUUUUUUUUUUUUUUUUUUUGGGAGGGGGAGUUCUGCUCUCCCCCCAUUUCCUCAUCCAUCCCCAGACAGAUAUGAAAGCUGUAGGUGCAACCAGGAGGAAAAAAAAAAAGCAAAAAAAAGCUUUAGCUUCUUUUACACUUAGCAGUGCUCUGCAUGUUUGUGGGUUUUCUUCCCCCCCCCCCCCCUUCUGUCCACCACCCGUAUCAGUGCCUCAAGUAGGCUUAUGGGCCAAGUCCUGAGGUUGUGUGUGUGCGUGCGCGCAUGAGAGUUUCUGUCCACACAUGUGCCUAAGAACUUAAAGGGCGAGUGGUUGGAGUUCAUUGCUGCCAUUAAGACAUUAUUUUCUGGGAGUGUGUCUCAGUACAGACCCCACUCCCAUGCUUCUAAACCAAGAGCUUUGUGCGUUGUGCACACCAUUCUCUGUAGUUCUUCUAGUGUAGCCUGGGGAUAGUCCAUUGACAGGAUUGUCCACUUUUUUGGGGGAUGUGGCUCACAUUGCCUUGUUGUCCACUCUCUUACUCCUGAGCAAGUGACUGACUGGCUUAAAUAGAUCCCAUCAAACUGUGCAAGUGCACAAAAAUGUGCACAAAAAAUGUUCAUUUAAUGUUACUUGUUUGUUGUCGACUCUGGUGUGUGUGUAUAUAUGUAUCUCCAAUAUACACAUACACACAAGUUAAAAGUAUUUGGACUACAAAUGAGGACUUGGGGCUGCUACUUUUUUAUUAUUUUUGAAAUUAUUUUCCUGUAGUUUAUAGUUUCAUUGCCACCAUGUGAAGUGUGUUGUCUGUCUUUUUACAAAAAAUUAUUGAAUGUAUUCCAAAAAAAGGUGAAAAAACAGUGAAGCCGGAUUUUUAAAAAAAAAAAUUUUUUUAUUCAACGCAAACAUGGGAGUGUAGUCGGACAUUAAAAUGGAGCGAAAGGUGUCUCUUUUUUUCAAAAGCCUGUUCAGCAAGCAGAUGGAGAAUCAAGACGACUACCACCAGAAGACACUGCCUCUACAAUCCUGUUUAAAAAAAAAAAAAAGAAAGAAAAAAAAAUAAAAACACAAAAAAAAUAAUAAUAAAAAAAUUGACGAUGAGAGAGAAAAUCUAUUCCAUACUGGAGUUUUGGUUGUUUACAGAAAAACACUUGGACUUUUGUGGGUUUUUUUUUUUUUUUUUUUGAGGGCGGGUCACUCAAUUCAGAAACCUUUAGGGAGGAGGUGCUGGAAUAAUCAGAUGAGAGCACACCCCACCCUCUUGUUGUGAACUGGGUGUGGCAUACAGAAAGUCUCCAUAUUUGUGACUUUGGGGAUUGGGUGCUGAGAUGAGCAGUUAUUACAAAGCUGACCAUAUUUUGUUUACUGAAAUUUGUUAAAUUUGUUUACUUUUUGCCUAUUUUUUUUUUUUCUUCCUCUUCACAGUGGGUUUAAAUACUUUUUCAGCCAGAGAAAAGAAGUUUGUGUUCCUGGAAAACAAAACAAAAAAAAAAACAGCACAGACCAUUUCUUUUCGGUACCUUGAAAUGCAAGAAUGCGAUUGAUGCUUUAAGAGUUUUCUUCCCCGGAGUAUCUAGACCUGGCCUCUAGAUUUAGAUUUUGCUUUAGAAAAGUUGAAUGAAAAUACAAAGAUGGACUGGUCUGGAAUGUGUUGGAAAGUACAAAAGCGCAUGAGGGACGUUCAUGACCUCCGCUCUGUCCUCAUAACCUGGGGACUGUCACUAGCCUUUCUGUUUCCAUGUGGGCGAAGGGAGUAUCGCAGCAGUCGACAUCAUCCUCCUGAAGAUGGUGAACGAGCGGUCACUGCCUCAGUGCUCUCACUAUGCACUUUUCACACACACAAAACUGUGAGGAACCUGCGGGGACAUGUAGAGGAAGACAGAGGGUGCUGUUGAAGCAUGGCUGGCCGGACACUUCGAAUCCAGCUAAAGCCCCUCCACUGAGAAUCUCAACAGGCAUGUUGUUCCCCCCUUUUGAACAUGUACAUAAGUAAUGCUGUGGGGUUUUUUGCUUUUUUGGGGUUUUUUUUUGGUCCUUUUAACUCUGCAAUUCUUAGGACUGAACAUAAUCUUGAUCACAAACCAAUGAAGUAGGCUAAUCAGACAUGUUGAAUGUUGAGGAAUAGCGUUCUACUCCAUGUUCGGGCUUUUGGAGAUUUUCCUGUGGACGCGCUCAAGAUACAGGAAAGAACUUUUAUAAACUGCUUGUUUCUGGCUGAGGACCAGAGACUAUUUCAAUGGAUUCUACAAAUUGACUGGAGUAGAUGAGUAUUUGAGGAGAUUAAACGGAGCUUCUGCACAGUUUUGGAUUAAUUUCAGCGUGGAGUUGCUUGUGACCGCAGCAGCAGAAUGGUCUGUCUGGUAAUGGAGCUAAUUAAAGUACCAGUAUACCAGAGCUUCUGACCAGGACAGUGGCUUUUCUCUCCCUCUCUCUCGGAAGACCAUCGAUGGUACCUGCUUUGAGAGGACGCCUCCUUUACUGAAUGGAGUGAAGUGACUGAACCGAUAGGAGUGUGAUGUACCUCCACAGCUUGUUCGCUCCCUCAGGAGGUGAUCAACUUCAUCGGUGUGUGCCGAAGCCGGACCACGAGAUUCUGGAGCUAUGACAGUCAAUACCUGUACAGACAGCCCUGAUUGCAUACACGGGCUAACACACACAAACCCAUGUUGAGGUCUGCUGAGCACACAUGCAAAAAUGGUCAUUAUCAUCCAGUAUCAAAGGCAAACUUCACUUCCUUCAGCUGCUGUCUUGAUUAAAUCGUAUUCAAACAGACUUCAUACUCCUGGCUGCUGUGUAAACUGUAUAUGCUACUGCUUUUCUCUGUUGUGUGUAAUUUUUCCCCCUUUAGACCAUGCCUUAACUGUACAGACAAGCCUGUAUUUUGGGGGAAAAAAAUGCUUAACAUGUUUAGUUAACCUGAUUUUUACUCCUGUGAUUAUUCCUGAUCUAAAUGAGUCAUGAAGUAACUUGAUCAGAGUUUCGCUUGAGGAUUAAGUGUGAGGUGUAUGUGGCAAACAAAUCCCAUGAGCCUGAAAUUUAACAAAAGGCAUUUUGUCAGUUUAGAUAGAAUCUGGCUGAUUCUCAAGAAAUAAUUUGAGGCUUCUUUGUUACAGGAUAUGCACCAUGGUGAAAAACGAAGCAUUAUUUUAAGAUGGCGUUUGGACUGAUUAGGUUUAUGUAGUGGAAUUGACUCAAAUUACUGUUCAACUUUGCUGGCCCAUUUUUGGCAAGAGUUUGAGCUGCAUGCAGCUUUAAUGCAGCGUUGGUGCUGUUGAACAGACAUGCCGUCAUGAUGUACCUGAGAGAAUGGUUCUGCUUUGUCAUGGUGAUGAAAAUAUUUGGGGUUCUUAUGUGCAUGAUGCCUUUUUAUUAUGGAUGGUGAUUGAUUAAAUAAUUAAACUAAACUAGAUAGUUUAAUGAGAAUAUGAUGGGAGUGAUCCGGAUGAUAGAUUACCAUGCCUGGGUGGCCCUUUGAUAAUUGAAGUUCACAUUUUUCAAGGACAGAUGUACAUGUACCCAUGCGACCUGAUCAUAAUUUGGUGCAAAAAAAACCCCCAAACAAACCCAAACACAUGAGUAAUGACUGCAGGACUAUCUACAAUUUAACAUAUUUCUCAAAUAGCAGAGUCGUACGGUAGUAGGAAGGGAGAAGAUCAGUAUUGUGUUGGAAUCUCCUUGUCUAUACAUCCUUUGCAUGUAAUUUGUAGUGGAGGUGAUGCAAUGACUCAUUUGCCUAUUCCCAAUCUACUUGUUAAGUUUGUCCUGUAGCUGAACUUUUAAAAUCGGAUAUAACAGUGAAAUCUUACUGGAAAUAAAAUAACAUGCAGAUUAAUGAGUGUAAAUAGUUUGGGUUUUUGUUUGAAAGUAUGAGUACAUAAUAAAUGAUUAUCACUAAG